RNAcentral lists this ribosomal RNA (401 nucleotides) under uncultured bacterium. RNAcentral describes it as "bacterial SSU rRNA". It matches the Rfam family "Bacterial small subunit ribosomal RNA", at positions 29 to 425 of the family's 1533-position model. The record is from RNAcentral.
AGUGAACGCUGGCGGCAGGCCUAACACAUGCAAGUCGAACGGCAGCACAGCAGUAGCAAUACUGUGGGUGGCGAGUGGCGGACGGGUGAGGAAUACAUCGGAAUCUACCUUGUCGUGGGGGAUAACGUAGGGAAACUUACGCUAAUACCGCAUACGAACUAUGGUUGAAAGCGGCGGACCGCAAGGCGUCGCGCGAUUGGAUGAGCCGAUGUCCGAUUAGCUAGUUGGCGGGGUAAAGGCCCACCAAGGCGACGAUCGGUAGCUGGUCUGAGAGGAUGAUCAGCCACACUGGAACUGAGACACGGUCCAGACUCCUACGGAAGGCAGCAGUGGGGAAUAUUGGACAAUGGGCGCAAGCCUGAUCCAGCCAUGCCGCGUGUGUGAAGAAGGCCUUCGGGUUG